GAUGAACGCUGGCGGUGUGCCUAAUACAUGCAAGUCGAGCGAACAGACGAGGAGCUUACUCCUCUGACGUUAGCGGCGGACGGGUGAGUAACACGUGGAUAACCUACCUAUAAGACUGGGAUAACUUCGGGAAACCGGAGCUAAUACCGGAUAACAUGUUGAACCGCAUGGUUCAACAGUGAAAGACGGUCUUGCUGUCACUUAUAGAUGGAUCCGCGUCGCAUUAGCUAGUUGGUAAGGUAACGGCUUACCAGGGCAACGAUGCGUAGCCGACCUGAGAGGGUGAUCGGCCACACUGGAACUGAGACACGGUCCAGACUCCUACGGGAGGCAGCAGUAGGGAAUCUUCCGCAAUGGGCGAAAGCCUGACGGAGCAACGCCGCGCGAGUGAAGAAGGUCUUCGGAUCGUAAAACUCUGUUAUUAGGGAAGAACAAAUGUGUAAGUAACUAUGCACGUCUUGACGGUACCUAAUCAGAAAGCCACGGCUAACUACGUG
RNAcentral lists this ribosomal RNA (497 nucleotides) under uncultured bacterium. Its description in RNAcentral is "partial 16S ribosomal RNA". It matches the Rfam family "Bacterial small subunit ribosomal RNA", at positions 28 to 507 of the family's 1533-position model. The record is from RNAcentral.